UACGGAGGAUGCGAGCGUUAUCCGGAUUUAUUGGGUUUAAAGGGUGCGUAGGCGGACGCUUAAGUCAGCGGUAAAAUUGCGGGGCUCAACCUCGUCGAGCCGUUGAAACUGGGUGUCUUGAGUGGGCGAGAAGUACGCGGAAUGCGUGGUGUAGCGGUGAAAUGCUUAGAGAUCAUACAGAACACCGAUUGCGAAGGCAGCUUACCAAUCUAUAUCUGACGUUGAGGCACGAAAGCGUGGGGAGCAAACAGG
RNAcentral lists this ribosomal RNA (252 nucleotides) under uncultured bacterium. RNAcentral's name for it is "partial 16S ribosomal RNA". It matches the Rfam family "Bacterial small subunit ribosomal RNA", at positions 524 to 776 of the family's 1533-position model. The record is from RNAcentral.